This 21-nucleotide non-coding RNA is filed under the name Caenorhabditis elegans. The record is from RNAcentral. Lineage: Eukaryota; Metazoa; Nematoda; Chromadorea; Rhabditida; Rhabditidae.
UAACAAAGUCAUGUUUUUGUA